This 478-nucleotide ribosomal RNA is filed under the name uncultured bacterium. RNAcentral's name for it is "partial 16S ribosomal RNA". It matches the Rfam family "Bacterial small subunit ribosomal RNA", at positions 28 to 507 of the family's 1533-position model. The record is from RNAcentral.
GAUGAACGCUGGCGGCGUGCUUAACACAUGCAAGUCGAACGAGAAGUGAAGACGGAACCCUUCGGGCGGAAGGCUUUAUUUCGAGUGGCGGACGGGUGAGUAACGCGUGGGUAACCUGCCUCAUACAGGGGGAUAACAGUUGGAAACGACUGUUAAUACCGCAUAAGACCACAGCACCGCAUGGUGCGGGGGUAAAAACUCCGGUGGUAUGAGAUGGACCCGCGUUCGAUUAGCCAGUUGGCGGGGUAACGGCCCACCAAAGCGACGAUCGAUAGCCGAUCUGAGAGGAUGACCGGCCACAUUGGGACUGAGACACGACCCAAACUCCUACGGGAGGCAGCAGUGGGGAAUAUUGCACAAUGGGGGAAACCCUGAUGCAGCGACGCCGCGUGAGUGAAGAAGUAUUUCGGUAUGUAAAGCUCUAUCAGCAGGGAAGAAAAUGACGGUACCUGAGUAAGAAGCCCCGGCUAACUACGUG